ACACGUUGAUAAUCGCUGUGUAGGAUCGCCGACUGUGUGGGAUUUGGUGAGGGGAUGGUUACGUGUCCAUCAUCGUCGAAAGGUCUGCUUCGACUGCAACGUCUUGACUUUUCUUUCCGUUUCAACUUGUCUCUCACAAGCCUCUGCUUCAGUCGCUCUUGAUCGUCGCCUUUUCUAAGGCGUCCGAGGGACAAAAACCGAAAUCUAAACCUCCACCACAAAUGAAGUCACGAACGCCACUCUCACUCACCCUCCACUGUUGCACACGAACCCAAUCAUAAUUCUGAAAUCCAAACAUAACCCAGAUGUUAAUCCUUCAGAGAAUGGCAAUGGCCACUUCUUCUUCCUUCCUCUCAAUCCCUCUCCUAAAGACCUCUUCUUUGCUUUCCCCAAUUAAACACUGCGCUUCGCCACUGAGCUCCGAGUUCAGGGCUAUCCCUCUACGGCGGUAGAAAUGGAGUCUUCACCUCCUCGGCGAUGGCCACGAAAUCAAACACCAGAAGCACAAAGGCGGCCAGUUUCUCUUGCUUCUCAGAGUUAUAGAAAUGAAACACCUCAGCCAAAUCCAGUAACAAGCUCAUUCCCGGAGUCCUCAGUGUCAUCCAAUAUCUCGUCAUCAGAUACCGGCAUGGAAUACUCAAGCCCUCCUUUAAGACAAAGGCGAACGGCAAACGUUGAGGAAGUUGAAUCUUCAUGAUGUAUGAUAUAUGUUUUAGUUACUGCUCAUUUGUUUGUACCAUGUGCAUCAGAUUAAGGUCACUACUCAUUUGUGCCAUGGUUUUCAUUCUUUUUUAUUUUGUUUCUUGUUGUAGUUACUCAUUCUCGGUAAUCAACUGAUAGUAAGGGCUGGUUUGGUAUUGCUGUGCUUUAAAAAAAAACUGGUUUUGCUGUGUUGUGAGAAUAAGCAGCUGUGAAAUAAAGUAGUGUUUGGUAAAUUUUUUUGUAAAAGUGCUUUUGAAAAAAAAAAUAUUAUAAUGUUUUGUAAACUUUUAUGUAAAACAGAUGUGAAAAAAAGUCAGUUUUUCAAAGAUGGGCUUUGUAGCUUCUUGUUUUUGGCUUUUUUUCACCCAAAACUAUGAAAAAAAAGCUGAAGUUGAAUAUUUACCAAACACAAAAAAGCUCCCAACUUUUUUUUUAUACCAAUUUUUUUUCAGAAUCACCUCAGUACCAAACCAGGGCUAAGUUCUCUCUUCUUUUUUUUUCUUGUUAUUUUAGUUGCUUAUAUAUCACUUCUGUUAACAUUUUCAGGUUUUCAACAAUCUUCAAUUACGAUAGCAACUUGAUUCCUAGGAUUUGGAAUAAGAAGGGAGACAUUAGUUGUCACAUUCCAGUCUCGGCUCCGCUGUAGCAUGAUAUUGUCCAUUUUGGGUUCCGGCCACUCUCUCACGAUUUUGUUUCUGGGAACUCAUACGAGAACUUCCCAGUGGAUCACCCAUCUUGGGAUUGCUCUCGUCCGAACUCGCUUAACUUUGGAGUUCCGAUGGAACUCAAAACCAGUGAGUUCCCAAAAGACCUCAUGCAAUAUGGAGGUAGUCAUGUACAUAUAAGACACAUUACCCCCUCUAUGUUGGUCAGUGUGUGAUGUUACAUUAAUACCAUUACGAAGGAUGCUCGAUCCGCUGUAAUUAUUUAGAAACUUAAUGGAUGGAGGUAUAACCUGUCUGUAUUUUGUUUGCGUUUAAACGAUAUCUUAGCAACUUUUUUCUUUUAUAUCUCUUUGAUGCAGUCUCUUAAGAUUUUGUUGGCUAUAGCUGCAAUUCGCUUGAGUGAGAAGCCAAAUAACAUUGAAAAGGUUCUCUUUUCUUUUCUAAUGGAUGGAACUAAAGCCUCUAUAGUCUAUAGAUCCUCUUACAUCAAAACACUUGGGAAGAGGUACUGUGUAUAAGGAUUUUUUUUUCUUUAUCUCCAUAUGGAUAGACUUUCUAUUGUCAAACUAAUUUCUUAUCAAUAAUUAAUUCUGACUAUAAGGAAUUUUCCAUUAAUCUAGUUAUUCGUUCAGUCUACAAUUCGGUUGGAGUUGCCAAAGAUUCUUUGCAUAAAAUUUUAAUUUAAUUGGAUCCCUCAGUAAAAAGAGGGCUUCGAACUUAAAAAGUUUUGUGAGUUUUUGAACACUGAAGAUAAUAAAGUCCAUGGUUUUUGUAUUGGUUGUUUGUUUAUUCUUUUUAAACGAAUGAAAAUUGUUGGAUUUGUGAUCUAAUGUUUAUGUAUAGUAGUUAAAAACACUAGGAAAUGUGUCAGAUUCAACUUUAAAAUUCAGAGAUUUUGGACCUUGAAGCUUUUCUUAGGGAAUAAAAUAAAUAUCGGAAUCCUUCUUUUCCUAUUUAAAUGCUAAUUGUUUUAUUGUGAUUUUUUAUGUUUUCUUCGACUCAUGUUAUUCUUAAAUUAAGAUAGUGUUUUUUUGUUAGGGAGUGAAGAUGAAUUUUAGAGACAAUAAAACAAAAUCAGUAACAUAUAAACCUAAAAUUGCAAAUUAAUCCAAAAAUAACAAAUAAUUAGAUAAAAAGUUAUAGCCAUAUACAUUUCUAUAUAAUUUUUGAAAAAAAAGGAAAAAUGAUGUAAUAUGAAUUUGUCUGUCGGAACAUUAUAAUUACUUUAGUCUAAAGUAGGUGGAAGUGGCACUGUGCAAUUUUGGGGUACAUUUUAGUUUAUUUACGAAAUUGCCACUGAGUCUCUGCCCCCUGAUUUAGCGUUAUUUACAAAAUUGCCACUGGGCUUCAGAAAGGGUUUUGGGUCUUUGGGCUGGAAUUUCCGUUCAGAUUGGAGUUUUCGGUUCUGCGAUCCACAUCAUCGCUGUGUAGGAUCGCCGGCUGUGUGGGAUUUGGGGAGGGGAUGGUUACGUGUCCAUCAUCGUCGAAAGGUCUGCUUCGACUGCAACGUCUCCACUUUUCUUUCCGUUUCAAUUUGUCUCUCACAAGCCUCUGCUUCAGUCGCUCUCGAUCGUCGCCUUUUCUAAGGCGUCCGAGGGACAAAAACCGAAAGCCAAACCUCCACCACAAAUGAAGUCACGAACGCCACUCGCACUCACCCUCCACCGUUGCACACGAACCCAAUCAUAAUUCUGAAAUCCAAACACAACCCAGAUGUUAAUCUUUCAGAGAAUGGCAAUGGCCAUUUCUUCUUCCUUCCUCUCAAUCCCUCUCCCAAAGACCUCUUCUUUGCUUUCCCCAGUUAAACACUGCGCUUCGCCACUGAGCUCCGAGUUCAGGGCUCUGUCCCUCUACGACGGUAGAAAUGGAGUCUCCACCUCCUCGGCGAUGGCCACGGAGGCUCAGAUCUCGACCCAAGACGACAAAUUGAAGGAUG
This 3303-nucleotide long non-coding RNA is filed under the name Malus domestica (apple). RNAcentral's name for it is "long non-coding RNA (MDOM_LNC018267)". Lineage: Eukaryota; Viridiplantae; Streptophyta; Magnoliopsida; Rosales; Rosaceae. The record is from RNAcentral.